This 579-nucleotide ribosomal RNA is filed under the name uncultured archaeon. RNAcentral describes it as "bacterial SSU rRNA". It matches the Rfam family "Archaeal small subunit ribosomal RNA", at positions 98 to 682 of the family's 1478-position model. The record is from RNAcentral.
ACGUGGACAAUCUAACCUAAGGUGGGGGAUAACCCCGGGAAACUGGGGAUAAUACCCCAUAGACUAUGGGUGCUGGAAUGCUCUGUAGUUGAAAGGUCCGCCGCCAUAGGAUGAGUCUGCGGCCGAUUAGGUUGUUGUUGGGGUAACGGCCCAACAAGCCUGUAAUCGGUACGGGUUGUGGGAGCAAGAGCCCGGAGAUGGAUUCUGAGACACGAAUCCAGGCCCUACGGGGCGCAGCAGGCGCGAAAACUUUACAAUGCGGGAAACCGUGAUAAGGGAACUCCGAGUGCCCGUAAAAUCGGGCUGUCCACCAGUGCAAAUAACUGGUGAAGAAAGGGCCGGGCAAGACCGGUGCCAGCCGCCGCGGUAAUACCGGCGGCUCGAGUGGUGGCCACUAUUACUGGGCUUAAAGCGUUCGUAGCUGGUCUGUUAAGUCUCUGGGGAAAUCUACUGGCUUAACCAAUAGGCAUCUCAGGGAUACUGGCAGACUAGGGACCGGGAGAGGUGAGGGGUACUCCAGGGGUAGGAGUGAAAUCCUGUAAUCCUUGGGGGACCACCUGUGGCGAAGGCGCCUCACCA